GGAUGCGCAUGAAAGAAUGUGCCACAGAAAAUGAGACACAUCAAUGAGGGUUGUGGAAAAUGCACUAGAAUCAACAAACAUGGGGACUAAUUCAACUCGGAUAUCAUGUCUUCAGAGAAGUUUCUCCUGCCCUCCUCUCCCUGUAGAAUUAAGUAUUCUUCCACUGUGCCACCCUCUAACUUGUGCUCAUAUCUUCCUCUAUUGUAGUUAUGUGUUCACAUCCCUGUUGUUUUUGUACCGGCUUCUCCCAAAGGGAGACAUUUAGUCUUAUUCUUCUUGGUAACUUUAGCACAGACCUGGCAGAUUGUUGACACUCAACAAAUGUUUAUUGACUCAAAUGCAUUCAGUUGAACAUUGACCUUUGAUCAACUCUGGGAAAAGUCUGCAAAGCUAGUUAGGACAUUCAGAAAUUCAUUUCAUUUCAAUCCUAACUAAAUAAAUUAUUGAAGUCUCAGAACUUCUCAGUACUUGAUUUAGACACAUAGAAACUUGGGUAAAUAACA
RNAcentral lists this long non-coding RNA (503 nucleotides) under Homo sapiens (human). Its description in RNAcentral is "non-protein coding MIR99AHG:107". Lineage: Eukaryota; Metazoa; Chordata; Mammalia; Primates; Hominidae. The record is from RNAcentral.